Pangasius djambal is the source of this 72-nucleotide non-coding RNA. The record is from the annotation of a GenBank genome assembly. NCBI's taxonomy places the organism in Eukaryota, Metazoa, Chordata, Actinopteri, Siluriformes, Pangasiidae.
UCCCUGGUGGACUAGUGGCUAGGCUACAGCUCUCUCACUGCUGCGGCCCGGGUUUGAUUCCUGGCCAGGGAA